CGCGCCUAACACAUGCAAGUCGAACGGAGAUCAUUUGGUAGAAGUUUUCGGAUGGACACUGAGUGAUCUUAGUGGCGAACGGGUGAGUAACGCGUGAGCAAUCUGCCUCAGAGUGGGGGACAACAGUUGGAAACGACUGCUAAUACCGCAUAAGCCCACAGCACCGCAUGGUGCCGGGGGAAAAGAUUUAUUGCUUUGAGAUGAGCUCGCGUCCAAUUAGCUAGUUGGUGAGGUAACGGCCCACCAAGGCGACGAUUGGUAGCCGGACUGAGAGGUUGAACGGCCACAUUGGGACUGAGAUACGGCCCAGACUCCUACGGGAGGCAGCAGUGGGGAAUAUUGCACAAUGGGGGGAACCCUGAUGCAGCGACGCCGCGUGGAGGAAGAAGGUCUUCGGAUUGUAAACUCCUGUUGUUAGGGACGAUAAUGACGGUACCUAACAAGGAAGCACCGGCUAACUACGUGCCAGCCGCCGCAGUAA
This 481-nucleotide ribosomal RNA is filed under the name uncultured bacterium. RNAcentral's name for it is "partial 16S ribosomal RNA". It matches the Rfam family "Bacterial small subunit ribosomal RNA", at positions 43 to 523 of the family's 1533-position model. The record is from RNAcentral.